Non-coding RNA from Schizosaccharomyces pombe (fission yeast), 203 nucleotides. NCBI's taxonomy places the organism in Eukaryota, Fungi, Ascomycota, Schizosaccharomycetes, Schizosaccharomycetales, Schizosaccharomycetaceae. The record is from the annotation of a GenBank genome assembly.
CAUACAUUUUUAAAUACGAAGAGAAUGUUAGAGAAUUUCAUCGAUGGAAGGUCAUUUUACUACUGAGAGGUAACGGUAGAAUACUGCUUUUGCAUUUUCCAACUUGACAGGGUUCAUUCGUCAAAAUCGAAUAUAAAGCGAAAUUACAAUAAUAGCAAGAUAGCCGUGGCAUACAAUUAGGUGUUAUUUUAUCAAUUGGUGAA